This 253-nucleotide ribosomal RNA is filed under the name uncultured bacterium. RNAcentral's name for it is "partial 16S ribosomal RNA". It matches the Rfam family "Bacterial small subunit ribosomal RNA", at positions 524 to 776 of the family's 1533-position model. The record is from RNAcentral.
UACGGGGGGGGUAAGCGUUGUUCGGAAUUACUGGGCGUAAAGGGCUCGUAGGCGUCCAACUAAGUCAGACGUGAAAUCCCUCAGCUUAACUGGGGAACUGCGUCUGAUACUGGAUGGCUUGGAUUCGGGAGAGGAAUGCGGAAUUCCAGGUGUAGCGGUGAAAUGCGUAGAUAUCUGGAGGAACACCGGUGGCGAAGGCGGCAUUCUGGACCGAUAUUGACGCUGAGGAGCGAAAGCCAGGGGAGCAAACGGG